Molecule: ribosomal RNA, 255 nt
Filed under: uncultured bacterium
Lineage: Bacteria
Description: partial 16S ribosomal RNA
Rfam family: Bacterial small subunit ribosomal RNA
Source: RNAcentral
UACGUAGGGUGCAAGCGUUGUCCGGAAUUAUUGGGCGUAAAGAGCUCGUAGGCGGUUUGUCGCGUCUGCUGUGAAAACCCGAGGCUCAACCUCGGGCCUGCAGUGGGUACGGGCAGACUAGAGUGCGGUAGGGGAGAUUGGAAUUCCUGGUGUAGCGGUGGAAUGCGCAGAUAUCAGGAGGAACACCAAUGGCGAAGGCAGAUCGUCUGGGCCGUGAACUGACGCUGAGGAGCGAAAGCAUGGGGAGCGAACAGG